Molecule: ribosomal RNA, 702 nt
Filed under: uncultured bacterium
Lineage: Bacteria
Description: bacterial SSU rRNA
Rfam family: Bacterial small subunit ribosomal RNA (bases 3-509)
Source: RNAcentral
CGGAACGCUGGCGGCGUUGCCUACAGCAUUAAGUCGAACGAUGAAGCUCCGUGCUUGCACUGGGUGGAUUAGUGGCGAACGGGUGAGUACACGUGAGUAACCUGCCCUUUACUUCGGGAUAAGCUUGGGAAACUGGGUCUAAUACCGGAUAUUCUGCAUGGUCGGAUGGUUGUGUAGGAAAGAUUUUUUGGUAAGUGGAUGGGCUCGCGGCCUAUCGGUUUGUUGGUGGGGUGAUGGCCUACCAAGACGACGACGGGUAGCCGGCCUGAGAGGGCGACCGGCCACACUGGAGACUGAGACACGGCCAGACUCCUACGGGAGUGCAGCAGUGGGGAAUAUUGCACAAUGGGGGAAACCCUGAUGCAGCGACGCCGCGUGGGGGAUGACGGCCUUCGAGGUUGUCAAACCUCUUUCAGUACGGGAAGAAGCGAAAGUGACCGUACCUGCAAAGAAGUACCGGCUAACUACGUGCCAGACAGCCGCGGAUAAUACGUACGGUACUAGACGUUGUCCGGCAAUUAUAUGGGACGUAACAGAGGCUCAGUAGGUAGGUACUCGUCAGCGUCUGCUUGUGGGAAAAACGUGCCAGGUUUAAACGGUGCCGCGGUGCAGGAAGGCGGUAACCCGGGGGCAGGCGAACCUAAGAGGCUUGACAAGAAAAGAGCGGGGACAGUCCUUCGAGGAAACUCACACCUAGGAGAU